Molecule: long non-coding RNA, 628 nt
Filed under: Marmota monax (woodchuck)
Lineage: Eukaryota; Metazoa; Chordata; Mammalia; Rodentia; Sciuridae
Source: RNAcentral
GCUGAGUCCUCAAGUCAGUCUUCUGGAGAGAUGUCGCAGUCUCCGGGGAUGGCCUGCCUUUGUGUCCCUGCUGUACCCCAACACUGGCUACAGGAGCCUUGGCACAGAUGUGGUGAUAGAUUUGAUGGCAGCUGGGGUCCUUGGACAAUUAAGCUCCCUGUAUUGGAGGGUCUUCAAGACACUUUCCCAGGGCUGUCACAGUCCCCCAUCAUUUCCCCUUGAUCACCCCAUUCUCCACCGGCAGGAACUUCUCCACUCUCUGCCCGAUUCAGUGUCUGAGGCCAAGUCUUCCAUCUUGCAAUGUGCUCUUGGUGCCCAUCAACUUUCCAACGUCUAUGUGGCUGGCUUUUCCUUCAAUUGUUUCAUGUGCCCUUACCACCUGCUCAGACCUUUCACUCUUCAGCUCAUCCAGCUACUCCUCACCUGGCUGGAUCCAAUCAUUCCUGGAGGUCUCAAUUCUCUUUGGAGUCUGCAGUCCAUCAUCAUGAAACCUAGUUCACCAGUGCUGGGCAGAAACUCCCUCUUCUACCCGUCUACUCCAGCGAGUGGGUGUUCUUCAUUCACCAUGUUUAUAUUUUCACAUGGACACUUCUCAUUCUCAUCUCAUCCCACCUUAGCUGGGGUUCCC